This 433-nucleotide ribosomal RNA is filed under the name uncultured bacterium. RNAcentral describes it as "partial 16S ribosomal RNA". It matches the Rfam family "Bacterial small subunit ribosomal RNA", at positions 29 to 507 of the family's 1533-position model. The record is from RNAcentral.
AGCGAACGCUGGCGGCAGGCCUAACACAUGCAAGUCGAACGAACUCUUCGGAGUUAGUGGCGGACGGGUGAGUAACACGUGGGAACGUGCCUUUUGGUUCGGAAUAACUCAGGGAAACUUGUGCUAAUACCGAAUGUGCCCUUCGGGGGAAAGAUUUAUCGCCAUUAGAGCGGCCCGCGUCUGAUUAGCUAGUUGGUGAGGUAACGGCUCACCAAGGCGACGAUCAGUAGCUGGUCUGAGAGGAUGACCAGCCACACUGGGACUGAGACACGGCCCAGACUCCUACGGGAGGCAGCAGUGGGGAAUCUUGCGCAAUGGGCGAAAGCCUGACGCAGCCAUGCCGCGUGAAUGAUGAAGGUCUUAGGAUUGUAAAAUUCUUUCACCGGGGACGACAAUGACGGUACCCGGAGAAGAAGCCCCGGCUAACUUCGUG